GUGCCAGCAGCCGCGGUAAUACCGGCAGCGCAAGUGAUGUCCCAUAUUAUUGGGCCUAAAGCGUCCGUAGCUGGCCGACCAAGUCUCACGGGAAAUCCACCCGCCCAACGGGUGGGCGUCCGGUAGAAACUGGCCGGCUUGGAACCGGAAGGCGCAGAGGGUACGUCCGGGGUAGGAGUGAAAUCCCGUAAUCCCGGACGGACUACCGAUGGCGAAAGCACUCUGCGAAGACGGCUUCGACAGUGAGGGACGAAAGCGCGGGUCUCAAACCGGAUUAGAAACCCUGGAGUCC
This 292-nucleotide ribosomal RNA is filed under the name uncultured bacterium. Its description in RNAcentral is "partial 16S ribosomal RNA". It matches the Rfam family "Archaeal small subunit ribosomal RNA", at positions 455 to 747 of the family's 1478-position model. The record is from RNAcentral.